CAGUAGCCACGGUAAUACGAAGGGGGCUAGCGUUGCUCGGAAUCACUGGGCGUAAAGGGUGCGUAGGCGGGUCUUUAAGUCAGGGGUGAAAUCCUGGAGCUCAACUCCAGAACUGCCUUUGAUACUGAAGAUCUUGAGUUCGGGAGAGGUGAGUGGAACUGCGAGUGUAGAGGUGAAAUUCGUAGAUAUUCGCAAGAACACCAGUGGCGAAGGCGGCUCACUGGCCCGAUACUGACGCUGAGGCACGAAAGCGUGGGGAGCAAACAGGAUUAGAUACCCGGGUAGUCCCUGUCUCUUAUAC
This 301-nucleotide ribosomal RNA is filed under the name uncultured bacterium. RNAcentral's name for it is "partial 16S ribosomal RNA". It matches the Rfam family "Bacterial small subunit ribosomal RNA", at positions 509 to 807 of the family's 1533-position model. The record is from RNAcentral.